UUUGGUUAAGUUAGAAAGGGCGCACGGUGGAUGCCUUGACACUAGGAGUCGAUGAAGGACGGGACUAACGCCGAUAUGCUUCGGGGAGCUGUAAGUAAGCUUUGAUCCGAAGAUUUCCGAAUGGGGAAACCCACCAUACGUAAUGGUAUGGUAUCCUUAUCUGAAUACAUAGGGUAAGGAAGACAGACCCAGGGAACUGAAACAUCUAAGUACCUGGAGGAAGAGAAAGCAAAUGCGAUUUCCUGAGUAGCGGCGAGCGAAACGGAACAUAGCCCAAACCAAGAGGCUUGCCUCUUGGGGUUGUAGGACAUUCUAUACGGAGUUACAAAGGAACGAGGUAGACGAAGCGACCUGGAAAGGUCCGUCGUAGAGGGUAACAACCCCGUAGUCGAAACUUCGUUCUCUCUUGAAUGUAUCCUGAGUACGGCGGAACACGUGAAAUUCCGUCGGAAUCUGGGAGGACCAUCUCCCAAGGCUAAAUACUCCCUAGUGAUCGAUAGUGAACCAGUACCGUGAGGGAAAGGUGAAAAGCACCCCGGAAGGGGAGUGAAAGAGAUCCUGAAACCGUGUGCCUACAAAUAGUCAGAGCCCGUUAACGGGUGAUGGCGUGCCUUUUGUAGAAUGAACCGGCGAGUUACGAUCCCGUGCGAGGUUAAGCUGAAGAGGCGGAGCCGCAGCGAAAGCGAGUCUGAAUAGGGCGUUUAGUACGUGGUCGUAGACCCGAAACCAGGUGAUCUACCCAUGUCCAGGGUGAAGUUCAGGUAACACUGAAUGGAGGCCCGAACCCACGCACGUUGAAAAGUGCGGGGAUGAGGUGUGGGUAGCGGAGAAAUUCCAAUCGAACCUGGAGAUAGCUGGUUCUCCCCGAAAUAGCUUUAGGGCUAGCCUUAAGUGUAAGAGUCUUGGAGGUAGAGCACUGAUUGGACUAGGGGUCCUCAUCGGAUUACCGAAUUCAGUCAAACUCCGAAUGCCAAUGACUUAUCCUUAGGAGUCAGACUGCGAGUGAUAAGAUCCGUAGUCAAAAGGGAAACAGCCCAGACCGCCAGCUAAGGUCCCCAAAGUGUGUAUUAAGUGGAAAAGGAUGUGGAGUUGCUUAGACAACUAGGAUGUUGGCUUAGAAGCAGCCACCAUUUAAAGAGUGCGUAAUAGCUCACUAGUCGAGUGACUCUGCGCCGAAAAUGUACCGGGGCUAAAUACACCACCGAAGCUGCGGAUUGAUACCAAUGGUAUCAGUGGUAGGGGAGCGUUCUAAGGACAGUGAAGUCAGACCGGAAGGACUGGUGGAGUGCUUAGAAGUGAGAAUGCCGGUAUGAGUAGCGAAAGACGGGUGAGAAUCCCGUCCACCGAAUGCCUAAGGUUUCCUGAGGAAGGCUCGUCCGCUCAGGGUUAGUCAGGACCUAAGCCGAGGCCGACAGGCGUAGGCGAUGGACAACAGGUUGAUAUUCCUGUACCACCUCUUUAUCGUUUGAGCAAUGGAGGGACGCAGAAGGAUAGAAGAAGCGUGCGAUUGGUUGUGCACGUCCAAGCAGUUAGGCUGAUAAGUAGGCAAAUCCGCUUAUCGUGAAGGCUGAGCUGUGAUGGGGAAGCUCCUUAUGGAGCGAAGUCUUUGAUUCCCCGCUGCCAAGAAAAGCUUCUAGCGAGAUAAAAGGUGCCUGUACCGCAAACCGACACAGGUAGGCGAGGAGAGAAUCCUAAGGUGUGCGAGAGAACUCUGGUUAAGGAACUCGGCAAAAUGACCCCGUAACUUCGGGAGAAGGGGUGCUUUCUUAACGGAAAGCCGCAGUGAAUAGGCCCAAGCGACUGUUUAGCAAAAACACAGCUCUCUGCGAAGCCGUAAGGCGAAGUAUAGGGGGUGACACCUGCCCGGUGCUGGAAGGUUAAGGAGAGGGGUUAGCGUAAGCGAAGCUCUGAACUGAAGCCCCAGUAAACGGCGGCCGUAACUAUAACGGUCCUAAGGUAGCGAAAUUCCUUGUCGGGUAAGUUCCGACCCGCACGAAAGGUGUAACGAUUUGGGCACUGUCUCAACCAGAGACUCGGUGAAAUUAUAGUACCUGUGAAGAUGCAGGUUACCCGCGACAGGACGGAAAGACCCCGUGGAGCUUUACUGUAGCCUGAUAUUGAAUUUUGGUACAGUUUGUACAGGAUAGGCGGGAGCCUUUGAAACCGGAGCGCUAGCUUCGGUGGAGGCGCUGGUGGGAUACCGCCCUGACUGUAUUGAAAUUCUAACCUACGGGUCUUAUCGACCCGGGAGACAGUGUCAGGUGGGCAGUUUGACUGGGGCGGUCGCCUCCUAAAGUGUAACGGAGGCGCCCAAAGGUUCCCUCAGAAUGGUUGGAAAUCAUUCGUAGAGUGCAAAGGCAUAAGGGAGCUUGACUGCGAGACCUACAAGUCGAGCAGGGACGAAAGUCGGGCUUAGUGAUCCGGUGGUUCCGCAUGGAAGGGCCAUCGCUCAACGGAUAAAAGCUACCCCGGGGAUAACAGGCUUAUCUCCCCCAAGAGUCCACAUCGACGGGGAGGUUUGGCACCUCGAUGUCGGCUCAUCGCAUCCUGGGGCUGUAGUCGGUCCCAAGGGUUGGGCUGUUCGCCCAUUAAAGCGGUACGCGAGCUGGGUUCAGAACGUCGUGAGACAGUUCGGUCCCUAUCCGUCGUGGGCGUAGGAAAUUUGAGAGGAGCUGUCCUUAGUACGAGAGGACCGGGAUGGACGCACCGCUGGUGUACCAGUUGUUCUGCCAAGGGCAUAGCUGGGUAGCUAUGUGCGGAAGGGAUAAGUGCUGAAAGCAUCUAAGCAUGAAGCCCCCCUCAAGAUGAGAUUUCCCAUAGCGUAAGCUAGUAAGAUCCCUGAAAGAUGAUCAGGUUGAUAGGUUCGAGGUGGAAGCAUGGUGACAUGUGGAGCUGACGAAUACUAAUAGAUCGAGGACUUAACCAUAUAA
This 2930-nucleotide ribosomal RNA is filed under the name Bacillus anthracis (anthrax bacterium). Its description in RNAcentral is "23S ribosomal RNA". It matches the Rfam family "Bacterial large subunit ribosomal RNA". Lineage: Bacteria; Bacillati; Bacillota; Bacilli; Caryophanales; Bacillaceae. The record is from RNAcentral.